RNAcentral lists this ribosomal RNA (467 nucleotides) under Undibacterium sp. RNAcentral's name for it is "bacterial SSU rRNA". It matches the Rfam family "Bacterial small subunit ribosomal RNA", at positions 391 to 851 of the family's 1533-position model. Lineage: Bacteria; Pseudomonadati; Pseudomonadota; Betaproteobacteria; Burkholderiales; Oxalobacteraceae. The record is from RNAcentral.
GCAAUGCCGCGUGAGUGAAGAAGGCCCUCGGGUUGUAAAGCUCUUUUGUCAGGGAAGAAACGGUCUACUCUAAUACAGUGGGCUAAUGACGGUACCUGAAGAAUAAGCACCGGCUAACUACGUGCCAGCAGCCGCGGUAAUACGUAGGGUGCAAGCGUUAAUCGGAAUUACUGGGCGUAAAGCGUGCGCAGGCGGUUUUAUAAGUCUGAUGUGAAAUCCCCGGGCUCAACCUGGGAACUGCAUUGGAGACUGUAAGGCUAGAGUGUGUCAGAGGGGGGUAGAAUUCCACGUGUAGCAGUGAAAUGCGUAGAUAUGUGGAGGAAUACCGAUGGCNAANGCAGCCCCCUGGNNUAACGCUGAAGCUCAUGCACGAUCUCGUGAGGAGCAAAGAGGAUUACAUAGCCUGGUANGCGACGCCCUACUCUAUGUCUACUACUUGUCUCUCCUUAAUUUACUUUCCAUGGCAA